GACGUAGGGGGCCAGCGUUGCUCGGAAUUACUGGGUGUAAAGGGUUCGUAGGCGGUGUGGCAAGUCGGGAGUGAAAUCUCUGGGCUCAACCCAGAGUCUGCUUCCGAAACUGCUGUGCUUGAGUGUGGGAGAGGCGCGUGGAAUUGCAGGUGUAGCGGUGAAAUGCGUAGAUAUCUGCGGGAACACCCGUGGCGAAAGCGGCGCGCUGGACCACUACUGACGCUGAGGAACGAAAGCUAGGGGAGCAAACAGG
This 253-nucleotide ribosomal RNA is filed under the name uncultured bacterium. RNAcentral describes it as "partial 16S ribosomal RNA". It matches the Rfam family "Bacterial small subunit ribosomal RNA", at positions 524 to 776 of the family's 1533-position model. The record is from RNAcentral.